This 492-nucleotide ribosomal RNA is filed under the name uncultured bacterium. Its description in RNAcentral is "partial 16S ribosomal RNA". It matches the Rfam family "Bacterial small subunit ribosomal RNA", at positions 29 to 507 of the family's 1533-position model. The record is from RNAcentral.
AGUGAACGCUGGCGGUAGGCCUAACACAUGCAAGUCGAACGGCAGCACAGUAAGAGCUUGCUCUUACGGGUGGCGAGUGGCGGACGGGUGAGGAAUACAUCGGAAUCUACUUUUUCGUGGGGGAGAACGUAGGGAAACUUACGCUAAUACCGCAUACGACCUACGGGUGAAAGCAGGGGAUCUUCGGACCUUGCGCGAUUGAAUGAGCCGAUGUCGGAUUAGCUAGUUGGCGGGGUAAAGGCCCACCAAGGCGACGAUCCGUAGCUGGUCCGAGAGGAUGAUCAGCCACACUGGAACUGAGACACGGUCCAGACUCCUACGGGAGGCAGCAGUGGGGAAUAUUGGACAAUGGGGGCAAGCCUGAUCCAGCCAUACCGCGUGGGUGCAGAAGGCCUUCGGGUUGUAAAGCCGUUUUGUUGGGAAAGAAAAGCAGCAGGUUAAUACCACGCUGUUCUGACGGUACCCAAAGAAUAAGCACCGGUUAACUUCGUG